UCUUGUAUAUCUGAAAGAGGAGCCUUGGAUUAACUACUAAAGUUACUGCCAUGUGAUUAGAAGGUCACGGGUUGAAGCCUUGAAAAUAGCCUUUGGUAGAAUUAUAAGGUAAGGCUGUGUAUAAUAGAACCUUAUGGUAAUGCAUUUCUCCUGACGACCUUAUGUAUAGCGAGGGCUUUAAUGCAAUAGGCUACUCUAUAUCUGGAAGCCACCUAAAUGAUACUUAUCAUGAGCUUAGAUCUGGUCCAGAUUAUGACCCACUACAAAUCAAGAAAACUCGAGCCAUAAAUCUACCCCUCUUGCUGACGACCUAAAAGCUUUGGGUUUGAGCGGUUGUAUUCUGAUGCCAGGUGAGAAUGUAUGUCCUCUCUAUUUCAAAAUAUCUAAAAAAAAGUUGAUUUAAGGAACUUUAAUUGAAAGGCUCCCUAAGGAUAAGUCUAUUGAGUACCAAGGCAAACAUCAAGUCGUCGAGAGACAUUUAAAAAUCAAAUUCACAUGGCACUCCAAGCCUGUCACAUUCUAUUCUGCGUCUAUCAGCUGCUACAUCUAAAAAUUCCAAAUCCAAAAAAAGAGAGGUG
This 578-nucleotide long non-coding RNA is filed under the name Capsicum annuum. RNAcentral describes it as "long non-coding RNA (CANN_LNC014221)". The record is from RNAcentral. Lineage: Eukaryota; Viridiplantae; Streptophyta; Magnoliopsida; Solanales; Solanaceae.